UACGUAGGGGGCGAGCGUUGUCCGGAAUUACUGGGCGUAAAGGGCGCGUAGGCGGCCCCUUAAGUCCGCGGUGAAAGCCCGAGGCUCAACCUCGGAGGGUCCGCGGAGACUGGGGGGCUGGGGUGUCGGAGAGGAGCGUGGAAUCCCUGGUGUAGCGGUGGAAUGCGUAGAGAUCAGGGGGAACACCGAUGGCGAAGGCAGCGCUCUGGCCGACGACCGACGCUGAGGCGCGAAAGCUGGGGGAGCGAACGGG
Molecule: ribosomal RNA, 253 nt
Filed under: uncultured Armatimonadota bacterium
Lineage: Bacteria; Bacillati; Armatimonadota
Description: uncultured Armatimonadetes bacterium partial 16S ribosomal RNA
Rfam family: Bacterial small subunit ribosomal RNA
Source: RNAcentral